GUUGCCCCUGCCACAGUCUGGGCAGUGGAUGGUCUUGGAGCUCCCAGUGAUGUGGUGAUGAGUCCAUGGCACCCCAGUCUUCCUUUUCUUGGCCUUCCAGACCCAAGCAGGCUACUUCACUCACUCCAGCUGUCAGGCUGGCUGCAGGAAGAGUCUGAGUUUGUGAGAUGUCCUUCAGAAACUGUCUUCUAUUUAAAGAACAACAACAAAAAAAGGGACAGUCCAUGUUUUAUAAAAACUUGUUUCAACUGUAAAAGUCAUCCUCUUCAUGGCAUGAAGCCUGAGAAACCAAGAAGAAAAAGACGCCCUGGAGCAGGGGCUAUGUCUCAGUUGCCUGCAUCUACAGCGCCUAACAAGUGUCAGCCCUUCGAGGAGCUCUAUAGAUGUUCACGAGGAGUGCAUUUUUUGGAGACCCACAAGAAUUCAUUGCACAAGAAUCUCCACUGCUGUGCUGCUCCCAGAGAUCAGGGCAUUGCCCACUGGUCAGAAACACUGGGCGCUCUGCAGAAUACUCCAGUGGGUGCAGUGAGGUCAUUGAAAAUUGUCUGUGGAACACCGAUGUACAGCAUCACUCACUGAAAACUGUCAAACACUGAUGUCCAGCAUUACAACACUCAGAAGGCAGAAAUAACAGCUACCAUGCACCAGUAGAAGGAUGGAUGAACAAAAUGGG
Molecule: long non-coding RNA, 673 nt
Filed under: Oryctolagus cuniculus (rabbit)
Lineage: Eukaryota; Metazoa; Chordata; Mammalia; Lagomorpha; Leporidae
Description: lncRNA (ENSOCUG00000035504.1)
Source: RNAcentral